UUCAUAGUCUAAAUAUAUCCCAUGCAAUAUUUGGGACAUACUGGGACUAAAA
This 52-nucleotide microRNA precursor is filed under the name Marmota monax (woodchuck). Lineage: Eukaryota; Metazoa; Chordata; Mammalia; Rodentia; Sciuridae. The record is from RNAcentral.